This 253-nucleotide ribosomal RNA is filed under the name uncultured bacterium. Its description in RNAcentral is "partial 16S ribosomal RNA". It matches the Rfam family "Bacterial small subunit ribosomal RNA", at positions 524 to 776 of the family's 1533-position model. The record is from RNAcentral.
UACGUAGGGCGCGAGCGUUGUCCGGAAUUAUUGGGCGUAAAGAGCUCGUAGGCGGCUUGUCACGUCGGGUGUGAAAGACCGGGGCUUAACUCCGGUUCUGCAUUCGAUACGGGCUAGCUAGAGUGUGGUAGGGGAGAUCGGAAUUCCUGGUGUAGCGGUGAAAUGCGCAGAUAUCAGGAGGAACACCGGUGGCGAAGGCGGAUCUCUGGGCCAUUACUGACGCUGAGGAGCGAAAGCGUGGGGAGCAAACAGG